CCUACGGGAGGCAGCAGUGAGGAAUAUUGGUCAAUGGACGAGAGUCUGAACCAGCCAAGUAGCGUGAAGGAUGACUGCCCUAUGGGUUGUAAACUUCUUUUAUAAAGGAAUAAAACGAGGCACGUGUGCCUUUUUGCAUGUACUUUAUGAAUAAGGAUCGGCUAACUCCGUGCCAGCAGCCGCGGUACUACGGAGGAUCCGAGCGUUAUCCGGAUUUAUUGGGUUUAAAGGGAGCGUAGAUGGGUUGUUAAGUCAGUUGUGAAAGUUUGCGGCUCAACCGUAAAAUUGCAAUUGAUACUGGCAGUCGUGAGUACAGUUGAGGUAAGCGGAAUUCGUGGUGUAGCGGUGAAAUGCUUAGAUAUCACGAAGAACCCCGAUUGCGAAGGCAGCUUACUAAACUGUGACUGACAUUGAUGCUCGAAAGUGUGGGUAUCAAACAGGAUUAGAUACCCUAGUAGUC
This 460-nucleotide ribosomal RNA is filed under the name uncultured bacterium. Its description in RNAcentral is "partial 16S ribosomal RNA". It matches the Rfam family "Bacterial small subunit ribosomal RNA", at positions 338 to 795 of the family's 1533-position model. The record is from RNAcentral.